GACGAACGCUGGCGGCGUGCUUAACACAUGCAAGUCGAACGGUAAGGCCCUUCGGGGUACACGAGUGGCGAACGGGUGAGUAACACGUGGGUGAUCUGCCCUGCACUUCGGGAUAAGCCUGGGAAACUGGGUCUAAUACCGGAUAGGACCCUGGGAUGCAUGUCCUGGGGUGGAAAGCUUUUGCGGUGUGGGAUGGGCCCGCGGCCUAUCAGCUUGUUGGUGGGGUGAUGGCCUACCAAGGCGACGACGGGUAGCCGGCCUGAGAGGGUAACCGGCCACACUGGGACUGAGAUACGGCCCAGACGCCUACGGGAGGCAGCCGUGGGGAAUAUUGCACAAUGGGCGCAAGCCUGAUGCAGCGACGCCGCGUGAGGGAUGACGGCCUUCGGGUUGUAAACCUCUUUCAGCACCGACGAAGCGCAAGUGACGGUAGGUGCAGAAGAAGGACCGGCCAACUACGUGCCAGCCGCCGCCGUAA
Molecule: ribosomal RNA, 478 nt
Filed under: uncultured bacterium
Lineage: Bacteria
Description: partial 16S ribosomal RNA
Rfam family: Bacterial small subunit ribosomal RNA
Source: RNAcentral